This 579-nucleotide small RNA is filed under the name Malus domestica (apple). RNAcentral's name for it is "sRNA MD07G0094200". The record is from RNAcentral. Lineage: Eukaryota; Viridiplantae; Streptophyta; Magnoliopsida; Rosales; Rosaceae.
UUUUUUUUUUUUUUUUUUUUUUUUUUUUUCCCCGGCAGGAUAUGUCUGUAAUUUUCACUGCAGAUUAGCUCCGGUACUCUCGGUGCAGUCAUGAACUCUCUUUGUUAUGGUUCUGGUGCAGGUGUUGGCCACAGAAAAUCGCCGGUUUUGUUGCCGUCAUAAUGUCAUUAAAGACUGGAUUUUCUGCUAAACUGUAUCAAGUUCAUCUUGGUGCCAAACGUGCUCAAGUGAGAGUGGAAAGGAGUAGCAACAAUCAGAAAAAGGCUCGCAUCAGAUUCUUCAGGUCAGCCCCCAAACCUGAUUUGGCGGUUCACUGCACUGAACAUUUGUGCCGAAAACUCUAAAACCAAUUGUAUAUAUUGUUAGUACGGGUGUAUAAAUUUUAUACAACUGUUCAUAAAUUAUACCAGCUGUUCAGUUACGUCGAACUAGCAUAGAAUUUGUAUACUCGUCGAAAACAAAACGUUAGGUUGUAUGUGGCCAAGAUAUUUACCUAGCAACAGAAAUGUAUUGAGAUCAUAAAGUUCAACUGUAUUCUGUAUUUUUUGAUUUACAAGCAAAAUAUCAAUGACAAAAAGU